UACAGAGGGUGCAAGCGUUAAUCGGAAUUACUGGGCGUAAAGGGCGCGUAGGUGGUUGUUUAAGUAAGAUGUGAAAUCCCUGGGCUUAACCUAGGAACUGCGUCUUAAACUGGACAGCUUGAGUACAAUAGAGGGUAGUGGAAUUUCCGGUGUAGCGGUGAAAUGCGCAGAUAUCAGGAGGAACACCGGUGGCGAAGGCGGGCCUCUGGGCCGAUACUGACGCUGAGGAGCGAAAGCGUGGGGAGCGAACAGG
This 253-nucleotide ribosomal RNA is filed under the name uncultured bacterium. RNAcentral's name for it is "partial 16S ribosomal RNA". It matches the Rfam family "Bacterial small subunit ribosomal RNA", at positions 524 to 776 of the family's 1533-position model. The record is from RNAcentral.